UUAAAACGCCCGUAGUUUACCUAAGGGGUUUGAUCACUCAUCUGUCCAGGAGAUGUCUUUGUUGUGGUGUCAUUCGUGCCACUGCGCUUAGGCUAUUCUGGGCCUUGGCUCUUACCGCUGGUCAAUUUUUUUGACCAGCGUCAAAGGGUAGGUGGGUGCUUCCGGCCUCGAUCCUCUCCAUUUUCUAUGGGGGGGCCUCUGGAACAACCGUAAACAAAUCAGCGUGUUCAAAGCAGGCUAUGUAUGGGUUUUACCCUUUGCUUGAAUGAUUUAGCAUGGAAUUGUACUGAAGUUGGCGAGGUGUUUCACCAAGCCAGCGGUUGUAAUGAGACACUGGAAGAGGCUCCAAGUACUAUGGCGCGAGAGGUGAAAUUCAGUGACCGCCAUAUGACUAUCUAAUGCGAAAGCAGUUGUAGCCAGUACGUGUCUGUCAAUCAGGGACGAAAGUUGAGGGAUCGAAGAUGAUUAGAUACCGUCGUAGUCUCAACCGUAAACGAUACCAACACGAGAUUGGUAGUGAAACCAUAAUUAGAUCCUAUCAGCAUCCAAGGGAAACCGUUAAGUCUUUGGGUUCUGGGGGGAGUAUGGUCGCAAGGCUGAAACUUAAAGGAAUUGACGGAA
This 621-nucleotide ribosomal RNA is filed under the name Vahlkampfia avara. RNAcentral describes it as "SSU rRNA". It matches the Rfam family "Eukaryotic small subunit ribosomal RNA", at positions 619 to 1161 of the family's 1831-position model. Lineage: Eukaryota; Heterolobosea; Eutetramitea; Acrasida; Vahlkampfiidae. The record is from RNAcentral.